This 253-nucleotide ribosomal RNA is filed under the name uncultured bacterium. RNAcentral describes it as "partial 16S ribosomal RNA". It matches the Rfam family "Bacterial small subunit ribosomal RNA", at positions 524 to 776 of the family's 1533-position model. The record is from RNAcentral.
GACGAACCGAGCGAACGUUGUUCGGAAUCACUGGGCUUAAAGGGCGCGUAGGCGGGCUGUCAAGUCUGGGGUGAAAUCCCACGGCUCAACCGUGGAACUGCUUGGUAUACUGCCUGUCUUGAGGCACUCAGGGGCGAGCGGAACAGAUGGUGGAGCGGUGAAAUGCGUAGAUAUCAUCUGGAACGCCAAUGGUGAAGACAGCUCGCUGGGGGUGUACUGACACUGAGACACGAAAGCCAGGGGAGCAAACGGG